UUAAGCGACUAAGCGUACACGGUGGAUGCCCUGGCAGUCAGAGGCGAUGAAGGACGUGCUAAUCUGCGAAAAGCGUCGGUAAGGUGAUAUGAACCGUUAUAACCGGCGAUGUCCGAAUGGGGAAACCCAGUGUGUUUCGACACACUAUCAUUAACUGAAUCCAUAGGUUAAUGAGGCGAACCGGGGGAACUGAAACAUCUAAGUACCCCGAGGAAAAGAAAUCAACCGAGAUUCCCCCAGUAGCGGCGAGCGAACGGGGAGGAGCCCAGAGCCUGAAUCAGUGUGUGUGUUAGUGGAAGCGUCUGGAAAGGCGUGCGAUACAGGGUGACAGCCCCGUACACAAAAAUGCACAUGCUGUGAGCUCGAUGAGUAGGGCGGGACACGUGGUAUCCUGUCUGAAUAUGGGGGGACCAUCCUCCAAGGCUAAAUACUCCUGACUGACCGAUAGUGAACCAGUACCGUGAGGGAAAGGCGAAAAGAACCCCGGCGAGGGGAGUGAAAAAGAACCUGAAACCGUGUACGUACAAGCAGUGGGAGCCCUGAUUUAUCAGGGUGACUGCGUACCUUUUGUAUAAUGGGUCAGCGACUUAUAUUCUGUAGCAAGGUUAACCGAAUAGGGGAGCCGGAGGGAAACCGAGUCUUAACUGGGCGUUAAGUUGCAGGGUAUAGACCCGAAACCCGGUGAUCUAGCCAUGGGCAGGUUGAAGGUUGGGUAACACUAACUGGAGGACCGAACCGACUAAUGUUGAAAAAUUAGCGGAUGACUUGUGGCUGGGGGUGAAAGGCCAAUCAAACCGGGAGAUAGCUGGUUCUCCCCGAAAGCUAUUUAGGUAGCGCCUCGUGAAUUCAUCUCCGGGGGUAGAGCACUGUUUCGGCAAGGGGGUCAUCCCGACUUACCAACCCGAUGCAAACUGCGAAUACCGGAGAAUGUUAUCACGGGAGACACACGGCGGGUGCUAACGUCCGUCGUGAAGAGGGAAACAACCCAGACCGCCAGCUAAGGUCCCAAAGUCAUGGUUAAGUGGGAAACGAUGUGGGAAGGCCCAGACAGCCAGGAUGUUGGCUUAGAAGCAGCCAUCAUUUAAAGAAAGCGUAAUAGCUCACUGGUCGAGUCGGCCUGCGCGGAAGAUGUAACGGGGCUAAACCAUGCACCGAAGCUGCGGCAGCGACACUGUGUGUUGUUGGGUAGGGGAGCGUUCUGUAAGCCUGUGAAGGUGUGCUGUGAGGCAUGCUGGAGGUAUCAGAAGUGCGAAUGCUGACAUAAGUAACGAUAAAGCGGGUGAAAAGCCCGCUCGCCGGAAGACCAAGGGUUCCUGUCCAACGUUAAUCGGGGCAGGGUGAGUCGACCCCUAAGGCGAGGCCGAAAGGCGUAGUCGAUGGGAAACAGGUUAAUAUUCCUGUACUUGGUGUUACUGCGAAGGGGGGACGGAGAAGGCUAUGUUGGCCGGGCGACGGUUGUCCCGGUUUAAGCGUGUAGGCUGGUUUUCCAGGCAAAUCCGGAGAAUCAAGGCUGAGGCGUGAUGACGAGGCACUACGGUGCUGAAGCAACAAAUGCCCUGCUUCCAGGAAAAGCCUCUAAGCAUCAGGUAACAUCAAAUCGUACCCCAAACCGACACAGGUGGUCAGGUAGAGAAUACCAAGGCGCUUGAGAGAACUCGGGUGAAGGAACUAGGCAAAAUGGUGCCGUAACUUCGGGAGAAGGCACGCUGAUGGUAGGUGAAGCGACUUGCUCGUGGAGCUGAAAUCAGUCGAAGAUACCAGCUGGCUGCAACUGUUUAUUAAAAACACAGCACUGUGCAAACACGAAAGUGGACGUAUACGGUGUGACGCCUGCCCGGUGCCGGAAGGUUAAUUGAUGGGGUCAGCGCAAGCGAAGCUCUUGAUCGAAGCCCCGGUAAACGGCGGCCGUAACUAUAACGGUCCUAAGGUAGCGAAAUUCCUUGUCGGGUAAGUUCCGACCUGCACGAAUGGCGUAAUGAUGGCCAGGCUGUCUCCACCCGAGACUCAGUGAAAUUGAACUCGCUGUGAAGAUGCAGUGUACCCGCGGCAAGACGGAAAGACCCCGUGAACCUUUACUAUAGCUUGACACUGAACACUGGUCCUUGAUGUGUAGGAUAGGUGGGAGGCUUUGAAGUGUGGACGCCAGUCUGCAUGGAGCCGUCCUUGAAAUACCACCCUUUAAUGGCUGGUGUUCUAACGUGGGCCCGUAAUCCGGGUUGCGGACAGUGUCUGGUGGGUAGUUUGACUGGGGCGGUCUCCUCCUAAAGAGUAACGGAGGAGCACGAAGGUUGGCUAAUCCUGGUCGGACAUCAGGAGGUUAGUGCAAUGGCAUAAGCCAGCUUGACUGCGAGCGUGACGGCGCGAGCAGGUGCGAAAGCAGGUCAUAGUGAUCCGGUGGUUCUGAAUGGAAGGGCCAUCGCUCAACGGAUAAAAGGUACUCCGGGGAUAACAGGCUGAUACCGCCCAAGAGUUCAUAUCGACGGCGGUGUUUGGCACCUCGAUGUCGGCUCAUCACAUCCUGGGGCUGAAGUAGGUCCCAAGGGUAUGGCUGUUCGCCAUUUAAAGUGGUACGCGAGCUGGGUUUAGAACGUCGUGAGACAGUUCGGUCCCUAUCUGCCGUGGGCGCUGGAGAACUGAGGGGGGCUGCUCCUAGUACGAGAGGACCGGAGUGGACGCAUCACUGGUGUUCGGGUUGUCAUGCCAAUGGCACUGCCCGGUAGCUAAAUGCGGAAGAGAUAAGUGCUGAAAGCAUCUAAGCACGAAACUUGCCCCGAGAUGAGUUCUCCCUGAGACCUAGAGUCUCCUGAAGGAACGUUGAAGACGACGACGUUGAUAGGCCGGGUGUGUAAGCGCAGCGAUGCGUUGAGCUAACCGGUACUAAUGAACCGUGAGGCUUAACCUU
RNAcentral lists this ribosomal RNA (2902 nucleotides) under Escherichia coli. RNAcentral describes it as "bacterial LSU rRNA". It matches the Rfam family "Bacterial large subunit ribosomal RNA". The record is from RNAcentral. Lineage: Bacteria; Pseudomonadati; Pseudomonadota; Gammaproteobacteria; Enterobacterales; Enterobacteriaceae.